GGGACUGUGGCUCAGUGGUAGAGCACUUGCCUGGCAUGUGUGAGGCACUGGGUUCAAUUCUCAGCACCA
RNAcentral lists this transfer RNA (69 nucleotides) under Ictidomys tridecemlineatus (thirteen-lined ground squirrel). Its description in RNAcentral is "Spermophilus tridecemlineatus (thirteen-lined ground squirrel) tRNA". It matches the Rfam family "tRNA". Rfam says of the family: Transfer RNA (tRNA) molecules are approximately 80 nucleotides in length. Their secondary structure includes four short double-helical elements and three loops (D, anti-codon, and T loops). Further hydrogen bonds mediate the characteristic L-shaped molecular structure. tRNAs have two regions of fundamental functional importance: the anti-codon, which is responsible for specific mRNA codon recognition, and the 3' end, to which the tRNAs corresponding amino acid is attached (by aminoacyl-tRNA synthetases). tRNAs cope with the degeneracy of the genetic code in two manners: having more than one tRNA (with a specific anti-codon) for a particular amino acid; and 'wobble' base-pairing, i.e. permitting non-standard base-pairing at the 3rd anti-codon position. The record is from Rfam by way of RNAcentral. Lineage: Eukaryota; Metazoa; Chordata; Mammalia; Rodentia; Sciuridae.